GUAAACUCGUCGCAAAGCCCAGAUACAGCCACGUGUGUUUGUCUUAUUCGCUUUGUUGUACGGUGGGACCUUUGCGACGAAUUUACGACGGAUUCGUCGUAAAUUCGUCGUAAUGUUUACGUCGAAUUUACGACGAAUAUAAAUUCUAUAUAUAGGACCUCACCCCUUCCUCAUUUCGUCGCUCAUCUCUCCUUCCUCUCUCUCU
Molecule: long non-coding RNA, 205 nt
Filed under: Eutrema salsugineum
Lineage: Eukaryota; Viridiplantae; Streptophyta; Magnoliopsida; Brassicales; Brassicaceae
Description: long non-coding RNA (ESAL_LNC001898)
Source: RNAcentral